UACGUAGGGUGCAAGCGUUAAUCGGAAUUACUGGGCGUAAAGCGUGCGCAGGCGGUUUUGUAAGUCUGUCGUGAAAUCCCCGGGCUCAACCUGGGAAUUGCGAUGGAGACUGCAAGGCUAGAAUCUGGCAGAGGGGGGUAGAAUUCCACGUGUAGCAGUGAAAUGCGUAGAGAUGUGGAGGAACACCGAUGGCGAAGGCAGCCCCCUGAGUCAAGAUUGACGCUCAUGCACGAAAGCGUGGGGAGCAAACAGG
Molecule: ribosomal RNA, 253 nt
Filed under: uncultured bacterium
Lineage: Bacteria
Description: partial 16S ribosomal RNA
Rfam family: Bacterial small subunit ribosomal RNA
Source: RNAcentral